RNAcentral lists this ribosomal RNA (466 nucleotides) under uncultured bacterium. RNAcentral's name for it is "partial 16S ribosomal RNA". It matches the Rfam family "Bacterial small subunit ribosomal RNA", at positions 30 to 507 of the family's 1533-position model. The record is from RNAcentral.
CGAACGCUGGCGGCGUGCUUAACACAUGCAAGUCGAACGGAAAGGCCCUGCUUUUGUGGGGUGCUCGAGUGGCGAACGGGUGAGUAACACGUGAGUAACCUGCCCUUGACUUUGGGAUAACUUCAGGAAACUGGGGCUAAUACCGGAUAGGAGCUCCUGCUGCAUGGUGGGGGUUGGAAAGUUUCGGCGGUUGGGGAUGGACUCGCGGCUUAUCAGCUUGUUGGUGGGGUAGUGGCUUACCAAGGCUUUGACGGGUAGCCGGCCUGAGAGGGUGACCGGCCACAUUGGGACUGAGGGACGGCCCAGACUCCUACGGGAGGCAGCAGUGGGGAAUAUUGCACAAUGGGCGGAAGCCUGAUGCAGCAACGCCGCGUGCGGGAUGACGGCCUUCGGGUUGUAAACCGCUUUCGCCUGUGACGAAGCGUGAGUGACGGUAAUGGGUAAAGAAGCACCGGCUAACUACGUG